RNAcentral lists this ribosomal RNA (832 nucleotides) under uncultured crenarchaeote. RNAcentral describes it as "bacterial SSU rRNA". It matches the Rfam family "Archaeal small subunit ribosomal RNA", at positions 19 to 857 of the family's 1478-position model. The record is from RNAcentral. Lineage: Archaea; Thermoproteati; Thermoproteota.
GGACCUGACUGCUAUCGGAUUGGUACUAAGCCAUGUGAGUCAUUGUAGCAAUACAAGGCAUACGGCUCAGUAACACGUAGUCAAUCUAACCUAUGGACGGGGAUAACCUCGGGAAACUGAGGAUAAACCCCGAUAGAUCAUUAUUCCUGGAACGGUUUAUGGUCCAAAUGAUUCGUCGCCGUAGGAUGGGACUGCGGCCUAUCAGCUUGUUGGUGAGGUAAUGGCCCACCAAGGCUAUUACAGGUACGGGCUCUGAGAGGAGAAGCCCGGAGAUGGGUACUGAGACACGGACCCAGGCCCUAUGGGGCGCAGCAGGCGAGAAACCUUUGCAAUGUGCGCAASSAMSACAAGGUUAAUCCGAGUGUUUCCUGCUAAAGGAAUCUUUUGUUAGUCGUAAAACCACUAUUGAAUAAGGGGUGGGCAAGUUCUGGUGUCAGCCGCCGCGGUAAAACCAGCACCUCAAGUGGUCAGGAUGAUUAUUGGGCCUAAAGCAUCCGUAGCCUGUUCUGUAAGUUUUCGGUUAAAUCCAUUAGCUCAACUAAUGGGCUGCCGAAAAUACUGCAGAACUAGGGAGUGGGAGAGGUAGACGGUGCUGGGUAGGAAGGGGUAAAAUCCUUUGAUCUAUUGAUGACCACCUGUGGCGAAGGCGGUCUACCAGAACACGUUCGACGGUGAGGGAUGAAAGCUGGGGGAGCAAACCGGAUUAGAUACCCGGGUAGUCCCAGCUGUAAACGAUGCAGACUCGGUGAUGCCCUGGCUUGUGGCCAGUGCAGUGCCGCAGGGAAGCCGUUAAGUUUGCCGCCUGGGAAGUACGUACGCAAGUAUGAAACUU